UACGUAGGGCGCAAGCGUUGUCCGGAAUUAUUGGGCGUAAAGCGCACGUAGGCGGCUUGGCAAGUCGGAUGUGAAAUCCCUCGGCUCAACCAAGGAAGUGCAUCCGAAACUGCUGAGCUUGAGUACUUAAGAGGAUCGCGGAAUUCCCGGUGUAGAGGUGAAAUUCGUAGAUAUUGGGAGGAACACCAGUGGCGAAGGCGGCUCACUGGACCGGUACUGACGCUGAUGCGCGAAAGCGUGGGGAGCAAACGGG
Molecule: ribosomal RNA, 253 nt
Filed under: uncultured bacterium
Lineage: Bacteria
Description: partial 16S ribosomal RNA
Rfam family: Bacterial small subunit ribosomal RNA
Source: RNAcentral